AGAGUAGGCAAUUGAGGAAAAAGUAUAAAUAUAUGAUGGUGGCUUGUGUUUGUCCCCAGAGAAUGCAGUCUACAUCAUCUGCAACCAAUCCUGCUGGAGACAGCCCUUUAAAUCCAAGUGGACUGUUUGGAUAGGAAGACUAGGAACUAGUCAAGCUUCACUCUAGAAAAGAUGAUAGAAAUAUAUAAUCAAUCAGAGCAUCUGCUACCAAGAACUUCUAGCCUCUGGGAGCUCAACCUCUGGAGGCUGUGAGUCUUACCUUGGCUCUCCACAUCUCCGUGCUCCCAUUCCUUGGACAGAGCACACUGCAACCCCACCCUUGCCUGUUCUCUGGCUUCAUCGUGGCCCUGACUGAUGGGAAUAACCUGGCCUCCUAAUUGCCUCAGGCCCCUCAUAUCUGCCUCCCAUUGUAUUCCUGGCUGGUGGCGGGGCUGUGCGACUGAGGAGGAGAAAAGAGAGUUUGAAAACCCCCAAAGAGAUGCUCACCUGCUGGGAAGGAGUGAGGAAUAAGAUGAAUCCUAAGAUGAGACUCAAUCAUAGAGGGGCAUGAAUGACAUUCAUACUUGUUCUAGAAGAAAAGCCUCUGAAAUCCUUAAGAAGAGUCAUCAGCUGGGAAUGUGGGCUGGGAACAAGAAUGAGAGUUGAUCUGGCUACCCAGGAGUAUUAGGAGGCUGAGCGAUUGGUGAUCCAGGUGAGGGCUAAGGCUGGCAUGAGAGCAGGGUAACAGUGCAUAUACUACAAAGGAGAAUCUUGUCGGCAGAUUGACUCUGAGGGCUGGAGGCAAGGGAGGAUGUGAUGGCACGUGGGCCAGGAGUGGUCCAUCCUGACAAGAGACUACUGUAAUGUUCUUGCCAACCAGGGACUUGGACUGAUACAAGAAUAAAGGCUGUUACCAUCCAGGUUAUUCGCCUAGAGAAACACGUUGCACUCCAAGCAAUUUGACCUACAGAAUAUCAAGUUUCCUGAAUAGGUAAAAUGGGGAGUGGAUUUGUCUCACAAAAAGUGGAGACUUGAGCUGCAAAGAACCUUUGUCCAUCUGCCCAAGUCAUAGAUCUCUUCUAUUCUCUUUUUCCUUCUUUCUCCCUUCUGGACCCCACUCCCCACGAAGGAGGAAAACAAGACUGUCAGCAUCUGCCGCACUUCCUUUUCUCUCUCUCUCUGUCUUUUCUGGCCUCUUCUGCUAUUUUCCCCACUUGCUCUCUGGGUGCCAGGCUUCCUCCCUUAGCUUCCUCUCAAACCUUCCUCCAUCUCGGCCCUUAACUAGUACUGCCUGGUUAACCAGGCAUAGGCCUGACCAACAGAUACUUUGGCCUGUAGUAUCAGGAAGCUGCCGGAACCACUAUUCCUAUAGACACCCACCCCACUCCACCCCAAGAAAGAGGGCCAGCACAAGAGAGGAAGUAAGACUCAAUGGUUCAAGACUUAAGGGGCCUGGCUUAGGGAGCAAGAUGACUAGGUGGCCUUAGGUAAGCUAUGUCACCUCUCUGAGGCUCAGACUUCACAUCAUGAGUGCGAAUGAUAACAAUAGCCCCUCGUAGUUGCUGUGAGGCUGACCAUCAUGGGAGUAGGUUAUGAUUAGAACCACAGAACUGGAACGCCUGGGUGGCUCAGUUAGUUAAACAUCUAACUCUUGGUUUCGGCUCAGAUCAUGAUCUCAGGGUGGUAAGAUCUGACCCUGUGUCGGGCUCCAUACUUAGCCGGAAGUCAGCUUGAGAUUCUCUCUCCCUCUGCCCCUCCCUUCACUCAUAUGCACACUCUUCCUCUAAAA
This 1768-nucleotide long non-coding RNA is filed under the name Canis lupus familiaris (dog). RNAcentral describes it as "lncRNA (ENSCAFG00000051214.1)". Lineage: Eukaryota; Metazoa; Chordata; Mammalia; Carnivora; Canidae. The record is from RNAcentral.